AGAGUUUGAUCAUGGCUCAGGGUGAACGCUAGCUACAGGCUUAACACAUGCAAGUCGAGGGGAAACGACAUCGAAAGCUUGCUUUUGAUGGGCGUCGACCGGCGCACGGGUGAGUAACGCGUAUCCAACCUGCCCACCACUUGGGGAUAACCUUGCGAAAGUAAGACUAAUACCCAAUGACGUCUCUAGAAGACAUCUGAAAAGAGAUUAAAGAUUUAUCGGUGAUGGAUGGGGAUGCGUCUGAUUAGCUUGUUGGCGGGGUAACGGCCACCAAGGCGACGAUCAGUAGGGGUUCUGAGAGGAAGGUCCCCCANAUUGGAACUGAGACACGGUCCAAACUCCUACGGGAGCA
This 352-nucleotide ribosomal RNA is filed under the name uncultured bacterium. RNAcentral describes it as "bacterial SSU rRNA". It matches the Rfam family "Bacterial small subunit ribosomal RNA", at positions 8 to 349 of the family's 1533-position model. The record is from RNAcentral.